UUGAAAUUAAAAUUAUUUUUCUUGAAAAUUAAUAGUUAAGUUCUUAAAAUUUAAAAAAUUUGGCGGUAUUUAAAUUUAUUUAGAGGAAUUUGUUUUUUAAUCGAUAUUUCACGGGUAUCUUACUUAAUUUUUGAAUUUGUAUAUCGUUGUUAUAAGAUUAUCUUUAAAAAGAAAUUAAUUUUCUAAUUUAAUAAAUUAAUAUUUAAAUCAAAUCAAGGUGCAGUUUAUAAUUAAGUUUAAAUGAAUUACAAUAAAGAAUAUUUAUAUGAAUUAAGAUUUUAAAUAAUUUUAUGAAGGUGGAUUUAAAUGUAAAGUUUUAAAUAUAAAGAUUUUUUGAUAAUUUUAUUUAAAUAUGU
RNAcentral lists this ribosomal RNA (356 nucleotides) under Manotinae sp. 1 DK-2016. RNAcentral describes it as "partial 12S ribosomal RNA". The record is from RNAcentral. Lineage: Eukaryota; Metazoa; Arthropoda; Insecta; Diptera; Mycetophilidae.